UUAUGGUUCCUGAAGGUUAGUCUGCGAUGGU
This 31-nucleotide non-coding RNA is filed under the name Mus musculus (house mouse). Lineage: Eukaryota; Metazoa; Chordata; Mammalia; Rodentia; Muridae. The record is from RNAcentral.